Molecule: non-coding RNA, 943 nt
Organism: Chlorocebus sabaeus (green monkey)
Lineage: Eukaryota; Metazoa; Chordata; Mammalia; Primates; Cercopithecidae
Source: RefSeq, a predicted model, not a curated record
GCUGGUGUGAGGAGGAUGUAGCAUUCUGCACUGAGUCCCUGGCAUGGCUCUAGAACAGUCAAGUGCAGUGACAGUCUUAAGCGUAGAAAACACUCAACUUUCCAAAUCUUCUACGAGGAACCUUCAAAAUACACAGAAAUGUGUAGUGAAACCUUACCCUACUGUGUCCACCGUCAGUUUACUUUUACAACUUUUGACUCAGUUUCCCUUUCUCUCCUACUACCCUCAGGUGACUGCAGAUGUGUUAACCAGCAUGUUCGCGUAGGAGACUUUCUGGAUGGGGAAGAUUUCCAGCACCUGGAGCUUCUUAACCUGCUACCAACUAGCUGCUGAUUUUCAUAAAUUGGACGGUAAGAGGGGAAAAAAAUCCCUCAGCAACUCAGCCACCAGGAAGAUGAUGGAAAGUGCCUGUCAGUCGUUUAAAAGCGAGAAAAGGAAUACCUCAGCCGCCUCCCAAGAUGCACGAAGCCUCCAGGAAUAUCAGCCAACCUGGGCUUUCUGCAUGGAAAACAAAGCUGCCUAAAUGGAAGGGCCUCGUCCCUCAGCCCAGUGUCAUGGAUGGCAUCUCCAUGGCCUCUUCUGCCUGGAUGGAGGUCCCAGGAUCUACAUGCUGCCAGCUCCUAUCCCUUGGCCAUAUAUGGGGGCUCCCUUUGACAUCUUCAGAGGAUCCUGAGAACUUCUCCCGCAGCCUUCCUCUCCCAGUGUGUCUUAGUCUGUUCCUGCUGCUGCAACAGGAAAGCUCAGACUAGGUAAUUUAUACAAAACAGACGUUUAUUUCUCAUCAUUCUAGAGGCAGGGAAGUCCAAGAUCAAGGCAUCAGCAAAUUCACUGUCUGUUGAGGACUCAGCCUCUGCUUCUAAAAUGGUGCCUUGUUGCUGUCUCCUUGCAUGUUGAAGGCAGAAGGGUAAAAGCAGAUGAUUGUGUUGGCUGUGUCCUCACAUGG